RNAcentral lists this ribosomal RNA (253 nucleotides) under uncultured bacterium. RNAcentral's name for it is "partial 16S ribosomal RNA". It matches the Rfam family "Bacterial small subunit ribosomal RNA", at positions 524 to 776 of the family's 1533-position model. The record is from RNAcentral.
UACGGAGGGUGCAAGCGUUAUCCGGAUUCACUGGGUUUAAAGGGUGCGUAGGUGGGUUGGUAAGUCAGUGGUGAAAUCUCCGAGCUUAACUUGGAAACUGCCAUUGAUACUAUCAGUCUUGAAUACCGUGGAGGUCAGCGGAAUAUGUCAUGUAGCGGUGAAAUGCUUAGAUAUGACAUAGAACACCCAUUGCGAAGGCAGCUGACUACGCGGAGAUUGACACUGAGGCACGAAAGCGUGGGGAUCAAACAGG